RNAcentral lists this long non-coding RNA (1499 nucleotides) under Pan paniscus (pygmy chimpanzee). RNAcentral's name for it is "lncRNA (ENSPPAG00000045369.1)". Lineage: Eukaryota; Metazoa; Chordata; Mammalia; Primates; Hominidae. The record is from RNAcentral.
GGGGCAUACCCCCGCCCCCAGCUCCGCACCAGGCAAACCUGGGCAUAUGGGCCUGCCCCUGCUGGUGAGGCGGCCACAACGGUGUGUGGGAAUGGGAUGCUCUGUGACCCAGGUGGUGUGGGCUGAGUCCCGGGAGCCAAAGGGCAGAGGCAGGAUCAGCCACGGGAUUCCAGCCUUGGUCUUCCGGGGUAAGCUCCACAAAGGCGGGAAAGUCUGUCCCUGUCUAGGACAGUGGCUGGCACACGAGGGCCAUCGGUAAACUCUUGGAUGAACCAGGCUCAGAGACACGCAGUGCUCAAGGUCACACAGCGAGUCAGUGAGGGAGGGGAUGUGAAACCAGGGCCAAGGCUGCAGCGGACAGCAAAUCCAAAGAAGUGUUCCACUGAAUUCUGGGCCCCUGGUCCUCUAACUGCAUUAGCUCCAGGAUGGAUGGGCGACAGCGAUGGAUGGAUGGACGGGCGGCUGGAUAGACAGAGUGGCAGGCGAGUGAAGGGGCUGAACGGUGGGCAGUCACAGAGUGGAUGGGCGGAUGGACAGACAGACGGGCCAAGGGGCAGAUCCCACAGUGGGGAAGAGCUCAGCCUGUCAGGUGACACAGCCUGGGUUCCAACCCCAGCACUGCCACUCCCCAGCCAUGUGUCCUUGGGGAAGUCAAUAACCUGGCUGUGCCCCAGUGUCCUCAUCUCAUCUGUAAAAGGGAAGUAAUGAUGGUCCCCUCUCACAGGGUUACUGUGAGGAGCUCAGAAUGGAGAAGGAGCUGUGUGUGCGUGUGCUGGCAUCCUGGCAGUGUCGAUAAUGGGUGGGCAGAGACAGAUGAAAGGGCAGCCUGCCUGGUGAGCCAGUGGAAGCCAUGGGAACUCCCAACCCCAGGCUCUGGGAGAAGGAGCAGACACACACCAAUGUGCGAAUGCAGCUGCAACACUCGCUGGAAGGAGAGGAAGAAGAGACAGAGUGCAGGGCGUGAGCCUGGAGGCUGGGAGGCCCAGAAGGAGGCUGGCACAAAGGAGAGGGGACAGGCCAUGCAGUCCAAGGUGAGGAAGCAGUAUGGGCUGGUGUCAGGGCUGGUGGUGUGUGUUUGUGUGUGUGUGUGUGUGUGUAAAAAGUCCCCUUCAUCCCUAGAUUCUGAGGAAAGGGAGGGGCCCAUGCCAGCAUCCCCUCAAAGUCUGGGAAACCUGGAUCCCAGCCUCAUAGCGUCAGAACGUCAGAACAUCAGAACAGCCAGACCUGGCAGGGGAGGGGCCAGGGAGAAGGAGCAGAGGCAGUAUUUUCCCAGGGUCCCCUGGGGAGCCUGGCAGUGUGGACUGGGGGUGGGGCCGAGGAGGACAGAUGGGGCUGUGGGAGGGAGCAGCUGCCACUCUCCUCUCCAGGGAUGCCCGCUCCCCAACUCCAGCCCGCAUACCAGUGGGAGAGAUCGUGAGACCCUCCCCCUAUCCUUGCUCCCACCAGUCCUCAGUUUCCCUAGUGACACUGGAGAGACGAUCUGUGAGGACCCCCCCUGA